This 492-nucleotide ribosomal RNA is filed under the name uncultured bacterium. Its description in RNAcentral is "partial 16S ribosomal RNA". It matches the Rfam family "Bacterial small subunit ribosomal RNA", at positions 29 to 507 of the family's 1533-position model. The record is from RNAcentral.
AGUGAACGCUGGCGGCAGGCCUAACACAUGCAAGUCGAGCGGCAGCACGGUAAGAGCUCGCUCUUACGGGUGGCGACUGGCGGGUGAGUGAGAAAUACAUCGCAAGCUACUUUGUCUGGGGUGAUAACGUGGGGGAACAUACGGUAACAGCGCAUAUGACGAACGGGUGGGAUCAGGGGAGCUUCGGACCUUGGGUGAGUCUAUGAGCCGGUGUCGGAUUGGCUAGUUGGCGGGGUAAAGGCACACCAAGGCGACGAUCCGUAGCGGGUCUGAGAGGAUGAUCAGCCACACUGGAACUGAGACACGGUCCAGACUCCUACGGGAGGCAGCAGUGGGGAAUAUUGGACAAUGGGCGAAAGCCUGAUCCAGCCAUGCCGCGUGGGUGAAGAAGGUCUUCGGAUUGUAAAGCACUUUUAUUGGGGAAGAACAGCAGUAGGUUAAUCCCCCGCUGUUUUGACGGUACCCAAAGAAUAAGCACCGGCUAACUUCGUG